CUCAUGUCGAUGUCACUCACAAAGAUGCUCAUGCAACGGCUGGCGCAGCUUUGAAGGAAGGAGCCUCAGUUCUAAACGGGCUUUGAUCCUCCCAUGCAGCUCCGAAAACAAUGCUUCACAAAGGAGGCGACACGCAGAGGCCUGACGGGAGACACUGGCCCCGAGAAUGCCGCAGACGUUUUCUGCUGUUUAAACUACAACAAAGGCUUGUCAGCAUACUGUACAUCCGGAGCGAGAUGCAUUUCUAAAGUAUGUGUCAAAGAGUCAGCUGGAGCUCUUUGAAGGCGGCUUUUUGAAUGUAAAGCUCCGAGCCUCUGCAGCUUCGACGCGUUUGCUGCAGAAGGAAAGCUGUGGUCAGCAUACAGAGCCUCGCGAACACACAUUUUAGCAUAGCCUACUUUAUAGGGGAUUUUAUGUGACAGACCAACACAAAGCAACACAUAAAUGUAAACUCUUAUUCAUGUAGAUAAAAUCCAUUGUAACCACCUGCCUUAAGAGGUCUCCUAUUUAGCGAGGCACUGCAGUUUCUGGGUAGUCACCGUUCAUUUCCAUCUAAAGUCAACUGCUUAACAAACUUGUUUGAAGUGCUAAAGUUUACUUUUUCCGAAUGCAUGGCUCAACAUCUCAGCAGACUUUCAUUCAAGAUGCUAUGUAAUUAGUUUUAGUUUAGAGGGCUGAAAUGCUGUUUUAAUCUCUGCUGUUUGUAGGUAUUAUGUCGCUCCGCAGAC
Molecule: long non-coding RNA, 728 nt
Organism: Gambusia affinis (western mosquitofish)
Lineage: Eukaryota; Metazoa; Chordata; Actinopteri; Cyprinodontiformes; Poeciliidae
Exons: 3
Source: RefSeq, a predicted model, not a curated record